AAUAGAUACCCAGGUAGUCCACGCCGUAAACGAUGAGUGCUAAGUGUUAGAGGGUUUCCGCCCUUUAGUGCUGAAGUUAACGCAUUAAAGCACUCCGCCUGGGGAGUACGGCCGCAAGGCUGAAACUCAAAAGGAAUUGACGGGGGCCCGCACAAGCGGUGGAGCAUGUGGUUUAAUUCGAAGCAACGCGAAGAACCUUACCAGGUCUUGACAUCCUCUGACAACCCUAGAGAUAGGGCUUCUCCUUCGGGAGCAAAGUGACAGGUGGUGCAUGGUUGUCGUCAGCUCGUGUCGUGAGAUGUUGGGUUAAGUCCCGCAACGAGCGCAACCCUUGAUCUUAGUUGCCAUCAUUAAGUUGGGCACUCUAAGGUGACUGCCGGUGACAAACCGGAGGAAGGUGGGGAUGACGUCAAAUCAUCAUGCCCCUUAUGACCUGGGCUACACACGUGCUACAAUGGACGGUACAAAGAGCUGCAAGACCGCGAGGUGGAGCUAAAUCUCAUAAAACCGUUCUCAGUUCGGAUUGUAGGCUGCUAACG
RNAcentral lists this ribosomal RNA (539 nucleotides) under uncultured bacterium. RNAcentral describes it as "bacterial SSU rRNA". It matches the Rfam family "Bacterial small subunit ribosomal RNA", at positions 777 to 1313 of the family's 1533-position model. The record is from RNAcentral.